GCCAGGCAUGGUAGUGCAUGCCUGUAGUCCCAGCUACUCAGGAGACUGAGGUGGGAGGAUCACUUGAGCCCGGGAGGUCGAGGCUGCAGUGAGCUAUGAUUGCGCCGCUGCACUCCAGCCUGAGUGACAGAGUGAGAUCCUGUCUCUC
Molecule: unclassified non-coding RNA, 148 nt
Organism: Pongo abelii (Sumatran orangutan)
Lineage: Eukaryota; Metazoa; Chordata; Mammalia; Primates; Hominidae
Rfam family: Metazoan signal recognition particle RNA
About the family: The signal recognition particle (SRP) is a universally conserved ribonucleoprotein. It is involved in the co-translational targeting of proteins to membranes.
Source: Ensembl